This 874-nucleotide ribosomal RNA is filed under the name uncultured bacterium. RNAcentral describes it as "bacterial SSU rRNA". It matches the Rfam family "Bacterial small subunit ribosomal RNA", at positions 29 to 898 of the family's 1533-position model. The record is from RNAcentral.
ACGAACGCUGGCGGCGUGCUUAACACAUGCAAGUCGAACGAGAACCAUUCUUUCGGGAAUGGGGAAAGUGGCGAACGGGUGAGUAACACGUAGGUAAUCUACCCUCGAGUGGGGGAUAAUUCCGGGAAACUGGUUGUAAUACCGCAUAACGUCCAGGAGGGACAUCCCUUUUGGAUUAAAGGUUUCGACCGCUUGAGGAUGAGCCUGCGUCCCAUUAACUAGUUGGCAGGGUAACAGCCUACCAAGGCAACGAUGGGUAGCUGGUCUGAGAGGACGACCAGCCACACUGGGACUGAGAUACGGCCCAGACUCCUACGGGAGGCAGCAGUGAGGAAUAUUGCGCAAUGGCCGAAAGGCUGACGCAGCAACGCCGCGUGGAUGAUGAAGCACUUUUGUGUGUAAAAUCCUGUUGAGAGGGAAGAAUGAUCUGCCAUCCGGCGGAUUUGACGGUACCUCUAAAGAAAGCUCCGGCCAACUCCGUGCCAGCAGCCGCGGUAAUACGGGGGGAGCAAGCGUUGUCCGGAUUUAUUGGGCGUAAAGGGCGCGUAGGUGGAUUGGUAAGUGAGUGGUGAAAUCCUGAGGCUUAACUUCAGAAUGGCCUUUCAUACUGCCAGUCUCGAGUGCGAGAGGGGAAGAUGGAAUUCCUGGUGUAGCGGUGGAAUGCGUAGAUAUCAGGAAGAACACCGGUGGCGAAGGCGGUCUUCUGGCUCGUAACUGACACUGAGGCGCGAAAGCGUGGGGAGCAAACAGGAUUAGAUACCCUGGUAGUCCACGCUAUAAACGAUGAACACUAGGUGUUGGAGGAUUCGACCCCUUCAGUGCCGCAGCUAACGCGUUAAGUGUUCCGCCUGGGGAGUACGGUCGCAAGGCUGAA